UCCGUAGGGUGCAAGCGUUGUCCGGAAUUAUUGGGCGUAAAGAGCUCGUAGGCGGUCUGUUGCGUCGGCUGUGAAAACCCGGGGCUCAACUCCGGGCCUGCAGCCGAUACGGGCAGACUAGAGUUCGGCAGGGGAGACUGGAAUUCCUGGUGUAGCGGUGAAAUGCGCAGAUAUCAGGAGGAACACCGGUGGCGAAGGCGGGUCUCUGGGCCGAUACUGACGCUGAGGAGCGAAAGCGUGGGGAGCAAACAGG
Molecule: ribosomal RNA, 253 nt
Filed under: uncultured bacterium
Lineage: Bacteria
Description: partial 16S ribosomal RNA
Rfam family: Bacterial small subunit ribosomal RNA
Source: RNAcentral